This 119-nucleotide ribosomal RNA is filed under the name Pteropus alecto (black flying fox). Lineage: Eukaryota; Metazoa; Chordata; Mammalia; Chiroptera; Pteropodidae. RNAcentral also lists the same sequence under 1 other name. The record is from RNAcentral.
GUCUAUGGCCAUACCACCCUGAACAAGCUCAAUCCAUUCUGAUCUCGGAAGCUAAGCAGGGUCAGGCCUGGUUAAUACUUGGAUGGGAGAUCACCUAGGAAGACCAGGUGCUGUAGGCA